RNAcentral lists this ribosomal RNA (484 nucleotides) under uncultured bacterium. RNAcentral's name for it is "partial 16S ribosomal RNA". It matches the Rfam family "Bacterial small subunit ribosomal RNA", at positions 29 to 507 of the family's 1533-position model. The record is from RNAcentral.
AUUGAACGCUGGCGGCAUGCUUUACACAUGCAAGUCGAACGGCAGCGCGGGCUUCGGCCUGGCGGCGAGUGGCGAACGGGUGAGUAAUGCAUCGGAACGUGCCCAGUAGUGGGGGAUAGCCCGGCGAAAGCCGGAUUAAUACCGCAUACGACCUGAGGGUGAAAGCGGGGGACCGAAAGGCCUCGCGCUAUUGGAGCGGCCGAUGUCGGAUUAGCUAGUUGGUGGGGUAAAGGCUUACCAAGGCGACGAUCCGUAGCUGGUCUGAGAGGACGACCAGCCACACUGGGACUGAGACACGGCCCAGACUCCUACGGGAGGCAGCAGUGGGGAAUGUUGGACAAUGGGGGCAACCCUGAUCCAGCCAUGCCGCGUGCGGGAAGAAGGCCUUCGGGUUGUAAAACGCUUUUGUUCGGGAAGAAAUCCUCUGGGCUAAUACCCCGGGGGGAUGACGGUACCGGAAGAAUAAGCACCGGCUAACUACGUG